RNAcentral lists this transfer RNA (72 nucleotides) under Camelus bactrianus (Bactrian camel). It matches the Rfam family "tRNA". From Rfam's summary of the family: Transfer RNA (tRNA) molecules are approximately 80 nucleotides in length. Their secondary structure includes four short double-helical elements and three loops (D, anti-codon, and T loops). Lineage: Eukaryota; Metazoa; Chordata; Mammalia; Artiodactyla; Camelidae. The record is from Rfam by way of RNAcentral. RNAcentral also lists the same sequence under 3 other names.
GUGGGUAUAGCUCAGUGGCAGAGCACAUGCUUAGCACGCACAAGGGCCUGGAUUCAACUCCCAGCACUGCCA